Molecule: ribosomal RNA, 100 nt
Filed under: uncultured archaeon
Lineage: Archaea
Description: partial 16S ribosomal RNA
Rfam family: Archaeal small subunit ribosomal RNA
Source: RNAcentral
AACCUUUACAAUGCGCGAAAGCGCGAUAAGGGAACCCUGAGUGCCAGCACAUGGUGUUGGCUGUCCAGCUGUUUAAAAAGSAGCUGUUAAMGUKGCCGGG